CCUACGGGUGGCAGCAGUGGGGAAUAUUGCACAAUGGGGGAAAGCCUGAUGCAGCGACGCCGCGUGAGUGAAGAAGGACUUCGUUAUGUAAAACUCUAUCAGCAGGGAAGAAAAAGACGGUACGUGAGUAAGAAUCCACGGCUAACUACGUGCCAGCAGCCGCGGUAAUACGUCGGUGGCGAGCGUUAUCCGGAUUUACUGGGUGGAAAGGGAGCGUAGAUGGGUGCGUAAGUCUGAAGUGAAGGGCGGGGGCUCAACCGCAGGACUGCAUUGGAAACUGGACGGAUGGAGUGCAGGCGAGGUAAGUGGAAUUCCUGGUGUAGCGGUGAAAUGCGUAGAUAUUAGGAGGAACACCAGUUGCGAAGGCGGCUUACUGGACUGUAACUGACGUUGAGGCUCGAAAGCGUGGGGAGCAAACAGGAUUAGAUACCCGGGUAGUC
This 440-nucleotide ribosomal RNA is filed under the name uncultured bacterium. RNAcentral's name for it is "partial 16S ribosomal RNA". It matches the Rfam family "Bacterial small subunit ribosomal RNA", at positions 338 to 795 of the family's 1533-position model. The record is from RNAcentral.